AGGCCUAACACAUGCAAGUCGAACGGCAGCACAGAGGAGCUUGCUCCUUGGGUGGCGAGUGGCGGACGGGUGAGGAAUACAUCGGAAUCUACUUUUUCGUGGGGGAUAACGUAGGGAAACUUACGCUAAUACCGCAUACGACCUACGGGUGAAAGCAGGGGACCUUCGGGCCUUGCGCGAUUGAAUGAGCCGAUGUCGGAUUAGCUAGUUGGCGGGGUAAAGGCCGACCAAGGCGACGAUCCGUAGCUGGUCUGAGAGGAUGAUCAGCCACACUGGAACUGAGACACGGUCCAGAUUCCUACGGGAGGCAGUAGC
Molecule: ribosomal RNA, 315 nt
Filed under: Stenotrophomonas sp. 9(2010)
Lineage: Bacteria; Pseudomonadati; Pseudomonadota; Gammaproteobacteria; Lysobacterales; Lysobacteraceae
Description: bacterial SSU rRNA
Rfam family: Bacterial small subunit ribosomal RNA
Source: RNAcentral